Molecule: non-coding RNA, 54 nt
Organism: Salmo salar (Atlantic salmon)
Lineage: Eukaryota; Metazoa; Chordata; Actinopteri; Salmoniformes; Salmonidae
Source: Rfam
UACACGCGUGACUGUAAAUCGCUUUGGAUAAAAGCAUCUGCCGAAUGGCAUAUA